RNAcentral lists this ribosomal RNA (281 nucleotides) under uncultured bacterium. RNAcentral's name for it is "partial 16S ribosomal RNA". It matches the Rfam family "Bacterial small subunit ribosomal RNA", at positions 333 to 610 of the family's 1533-position model. The record is from RNAcentral.
AUCUACCUACGGGGGGCAGCAGUGAGGAAUAUUGGUCAAUGGGCGCAAGCCUGAACCAGCCACGUCGCGUGAGGGAUGACGGUCCUAUGGAUUGUAAACCUCUUUUGUCGGGGAGCAAGGCCCGCCACGUGUGGCGGGAAGGAGAGUACCCGAAGAAAAAGCAUCGGCUAACUCCGUGCCAGCAGCCGCGGUAAUAAGGAGGAUGCGAGCGGUAUCCGGAUUUAUUGGGUUUAAAGGGGGCGGAGGCGGGAGGUUAAGGCGGCGGUGAAAUUUCGGUGCUC